UAGAGGAGGAUUUCAGGUUUAUCAGUGGGAGGAGACACAGAAAGUCAAUUUCAAAGCUAUCCUCCUGGUAUACACAGUAGAUAAGGGACACUCGGGCUGUGCUGACAUACUGUUGCCAGACCUGUAGGGCCAUCAUCCCCUUGUCAACAAGAUUCCUCACAGAGAGAAGUGAUUCAACAUGCAGGUACCUGCAGUUUCGAAUCCUCCUCGUUUGUCAGUACCAAACCCCCUACAAAGACAGACAUGACAAACUAACAAUUGGACGAGGAAAACCAGUGAAAGGAUGAUGAGUGAAUCGUGUGCAGGAUUUUGAUAUUAUUUAUCAUGUCUGUUCAGGCGUGACAGGACCCAGAUUUCCAGCGGUGUGAUGUUGAUAUCGCUGUGUUAAGUUCCUAAAUGUGUUUUUACCUGACAGUAUUGACGAGAUCAAAGAAUCAAAGAGCCUGUCCAGCAAGGACUAUCGGAUGACGACUCAUUUCCCUGAAUUGUGUCUUUAUUGAUGUGUUGAAGAGUUCUUUUUAAUACGGACGACCAACGUGUGCUGACAGGGAUGUUUGUAGCACGAUGAUCUUUCUCCGUUCAAUAGGAUAAGGAUUUUCAUUUAAUACAGCAUAAUCACUAUGCAAACAAAAAUUUUAUUCAAUUUUCAUUUGUUGGUGUUGAACAGAAUCACUUUAGCUGCAAUUUACUGACUAAAUCAAUAGAAUUAAUGUCCGAUUACCAGCCAAUUUAGAUAGCCGCUAACGUUCAACAUAAUACUAAUAACUGCAUGAUAACAGAAAUUUUAUUGAACACCAAACCGUAGGAUCCCUUCAGAACAAAGGAUGAUAGGAAAACAUAUCAUUUGCUGGGAUUGUCGGAAGGAUUAAGCGAUAUGCAGGAUAUCCAUCACGAAGCAAAAACUGAAACACAAGUACGAAAAUAACAAAAUGGCUUCCCCUACAGAUUAGAUCUGUAUGGAAACAGCUUUGUUAAUUUGUUUAAUACGUGAAGAAUUUAGUCAUUAUAAUGAAUGAAGUGGGCCAAUUUAAC
Long non-coding RNA from Ylistrum balloti, 1032 nucleotides. RefSeq lists it as uncharacterized. The transcript is spliced from 4 exons. Lineage: Eukaryota; Metazoa; Mollusca; Bivalvia; Pectinida; Pectinidae. The record is from RefSeq and is a predicted model, not a curated record.